Molecule: long non-coding RNA, 431 nt
Filed under: Brassica napus (rape)
Lineage: Eukaryota; Viridiplantae; Streptophyta; Magnoliopsida; Brassicales; Brassicaceae
Description: long non-coding RNA (BNAP_LNC007771)
Source: RNAcentral
UUACAUUCAGUUCUCCCAGAAACUUCACAUUCUCAGAAUUUUCCGAUUUGUAAUUCAAAAAUUAAGAUUUUUGAUUAUGUAUGUUCACUGAAAAAAUUGGGUUUCAAUGUCAAGAAGAAGAUGACAUCUAGGCGGAGCACAACGAGAAAGGUGAAAGAAAGAUGAGAAAUACAGUGAAUCUCCUUUCUUCUCUCCACUCUUCUUGCCUUGCUUCAUUUUCUACUUUUCAUGACACCAGUGGUGAUGAGAAUGGUGAUGAACAGGUUUGCUUUUGAUUUUUAAUGGAAUUACCAAUUAGGUCAAAAUCAUAAGUCUUGAUCUCUUCAUGUAUGUAAUGGAAGUGUUUGACAUAAAAGAAUGGAAUCUAUGAGUCAAGUAGUUGUUAAAUAUUGCUAUGAUAAAGAAAUAAAAGAUAAAUGUGAUAAUGAUCG